This 233-nucleotide long non-coding RNA is filed under the name Setaria viridis. RNAcentral describes it as "long non-coding RNA (SVIR_LNC005248)". The record is from RNAcentral. Lineage: Eukaryota; Viridiplantae; Streptophyta; Magnoliopsida; Poales; Poaceae.
CACACUAAUGGUAGGGAUUGGAUAAGAUGACACUUUUAUAAGGAAAUGCAUUUGGCAGGCUAUUUGUAAUGUGUUGCAAAUAUAAGAUAUUCUAAACUGGUUGUUCAGAUAUUCUUUGUUAUGUACGUGGAUGUGAUGACUGAAUAUGUGUAACAUUCAUUUUGUAUUCCUAGCAUUCUAUGUGUGGUAUUAAUCUCCCCCUAAUGCCUGGAAUUAUCCUCAAACUAUGAUCG